GUGUGCUUUCUUAUCAGUGUGCUGUGGGCUAUAGUGCCAGUGUAACAGCAGAGGGCAACUUCAUGGGGUCUGUGCAAGUCCAGGGCUAGCAGGGCAAUGUGUGCUGACACAGCUACUGCUCUACGGUUAGAUGCAAUCUUUCUGUGUAAGCACACCCUGUUUGCACCCUUCAGAAGGGGAUGAUGGCCCACAGCCUGCUGACUUGCUCACCAUCUCCAUGUAAAUGCAACCAGAUUGUCUUCGGGCAUGGAAGAGCUGGAAGGCUGCCACAGGUCCCAGCACAGUUGGCCAUCAUCUCCUCUGUUCUCUGGAGUUUCUAUUUGAAUCAACAUCCAAAGACACAGAAACACAGAAACUGCUAAAGGACAUACUCAAAUUUGAGGUAGAGUCCAAGCCAGGAGGUCAAUGAAAUUCAAGGUGGGGGCAUCCUUGAAUCACCUAUGCCCACGUCAGCUGAGAAGCAGCCAGAGUGCUUCUCCCCUAGGACUGCUGUACUUUGUCCUACAUCAGGCCUUUGCAAGUCACAUCAGAAUGUCCAGAGUUAUCCUCCCACUGCUGCGAGGGUUCACUGCCCCUAUGAAUCAGACACAGCACACAGGCAAAAAAAAUAACGUUGCCAUCCCAACAGCUUGCAGUCAAAAUCAGAGAAGAGAAAAAGCAGAGUGAUAAAACAAACAGAAGAGAAAAGGCAGUUCAAUUGGUAACGUAGCAAUGUUAGGUGAUGUUCCAUAACCCCGAUCUGUAAGGACAGCUCCUGCCCUCACUGCGCAGCCAUUCAGCUCUGAUACCUGUUGAAGCUCCAGAGGCAAAUCAUCUGAACUGUUGGGUUUUUUUGUUGUUGUUUUGACAAAACCGUGCCUUCAGUCUGCUCCUCGUUUUCCUUUUGAAUUGUCGAAGAUGGAGAUUUCACCUUCCCUUUGAGAGCUGAUUCCAGUGGUUACUCAAUUCAUGUGUUAAAAUACAGCGUCUAAUUUCUGAUUCAAAUUCUUCUGCUUUCAGCUUCUAGCAACUGCCUCUUGUAUACUCUUCCCAGUUAAUUUAUGUAACUGUUUAGUAUCCUGCAUUUUUUCAACACAAAGGUACUUAAUGGCCAUAAUUGAUCCCCAGUUUUUGGCUUCCAGCUCGGACCACUGAGCUAUCACUGCUGCAGCUAGAGCCAUCAGUGCCAACAUUCUGCCUUCACUGUGGCACAGGGGCGCCAUGUUGGACACUGCCCCACCAGCUGCUCCGCAUUCCUGCAGGG
This 1243-nucleotide long non-coding RNA is filed under the name Gallus gallus (chicken). Its description in RNAcentral is "lncRNA (ENSGALG00010026971.1)". The record is from RNAcentral. Lineage: Eukaryota; Metazoa; Chordata; Aves; Galliformes; Phasianidae.